GACUGUGACUCUUUGGUGACAUCACAGAGCUCACAGGAGUGCCAGUUGUAGGCAGCAGCAAAGCAGUGUGAAAUUUCAGGCAGAACUUUCCCAAGGUUGAAGCAUGGUUACAGGAGCUUGUGAUAAGAAGAGCUGAGCAAUGGACAGUCAUCAGUUCUGUCACCGGUCAUCACUUCUGUUAAUUAUGGCAAAGCUAUGAAGAAAGCGACAGUGGGAUACAGAAGAUGCUUUAAUUCCA
This 238-nucleotide long non-coding RNA is filed under the name Gallus gallus (chicken). Its description in RNAcentral is "long non-coding RNA NONGGAT009200". Lineage: Eukaryota; Metazoa; Chordata; Aves; Galliformes; Phasianidae. The record is from RNAcentral.